RNAcentral lists this ribosomal RNA (799 nucleotides) under uncultured fungus. RNAcentral describes it as "SSU rRNA". It matches the Rfam family "Eukaryotic small subunit ribosomal RNA", at positions 564 to 1371 of the family's 1831-position model. Lineage: Eukaryota; Fungi. The record is from RNAcentral.
GUGCCAGCCGCCGCGGUAAUUCCAGCUCCAAUAGCGUAUAUUAAAGUUGUUGCAGUUAAAAAGCUCGUAGUUGAACCUUGGGCCUGGUUGGCCGGUCCGCCUCACCGCGUGCACUGGUCCGACCGGGUCUUUCCUUCUGGGGAGCCGCAUGCCCUUCACUGGGUGUGUCGGGGAACCAGGACUUUUACUUUGAAAAAAUUAGAGUGUUCAAAGCAGGCCUAUGCUCGAAUACAUUAGCAUGGAAUAAUAGAAUAGGACGUGUGGUUCUAUUUUGUUGGUUUCUAGGACCGCCGUAAUGAUUAAUAGGGACAGUCGGGGGCAUCAGUAUUCAACUGUCAGAGGUGAAAUUCUUGGAUCAGUUGAAGACUAACUACUGCGAAAGCAUUUGCCAAGGAUGUUUUCAUUAAUCAGGAACGAAAGUUAGGGGAUCGAAGACGAUCAGAUACCGUCGUAGUCUUAACCAUAAACUAUGCCGACUAGGGAUCGGACGGUGUUAUUCAUGACCCGUUCGGCACCUUACGAGAAAUCAAAGUGCUUGGGCUCCAGGGGGAGUAUGGUCGCAAGGCUGAAACUUAAAGAAAUUGACGGAAGGGCACCACCAGGGGUGGAGCCUGCGGCUUAAUUUGACUCAACACGGGGAAACUCACCAGGUCCAGACACAAUAAGGAUUGACAGAUUGAGAGCUCUUUCUUGAUUUUGUGGGUGGUGGUGCAUGGCCGUUCUUAGUGGUGGGGUGACUUGUCUGCUUAAUUGCGAUAACGAACGAGACCUUAACCUGCUAAAUAGCCCGCAUUGCUCC